AUGAGCAUCUUGGACAAGACCACCGAUAACGCGGUGCUCCGCUCUCAAAGGACAAAGAAGCCCAACCUUGCCUUGAAGGCCAAGGUUAUUGUGGAAGAAGAGGAAGAAGAGGAAGAUGAGGAGAGCAACCCCGAAGAUACAAAAUAUGAUUAUCAUGAGCACAUGGCUCUUGCUUCAAGGCAAUUUUGGAGCAAGAAGAACUCAAGGCCCAAUUUCAACAAGAACAACUCAAGUGGCUUCAAGGGCAAGCAACGAGUAAGAACUUGUUACAACUGUGGCAAUGUGAGCCAUUUCAUUGCGGAUUGUCCUUACGAGAAGCGGGAAGACAAUGGUGGCAAGCUCAUCCGAAAAGACAAAGCCAAGUCCUUCCCCAACAAGAACAACUUCAGCAAGAAGACUCCUACUCGAGGUUUGGUGGUUCAAGAAGAAUACCGUGAGGAUGAUGAUGAUGAUGAUGAAGAUAGUGAAGCAAUGGCCAUGGCAUCCGUUGCCAUUGCCACAACUCCCCGGAUGUCUCUCUUUGAUUCACCCAACGAGAACAUCACUGCCAAGUGCCUCAUGGCUAAAGCCACCAACAAGGUAACCCCCAACAUCAAAACCACCAUCAUUACUAAUCCCUCUUUGGCCGAUGGCAUUGAUGAAAGUGAGGGGUCUAAUGAGGAAGUAAAUGAAUUUGAGUCUUUUAUGAGUAAGCUCAAGGGAAAAUCCAAGAAGCACUUUGUUGCUCUCUUGGAACAACUUGGUGAAGCCAAUGACAUGAUCGAGGCUCACGAAGAAACCAUCUCUAAGAUGGAAGGUCAUAGUCGUGACUAUGCCGAUGAGAUAUCGGAUCUCUCUAAUGCUCUUAAGGAAGAGCGUGGGCAUCGCUUGGCUCAUGAGGAGUCACACAAUGAUGACCAUGCCAAGUUAAAGAAAGAUCUUGAUCAUGCUCUUGUUGUGUCUCGUGUGCUAACUUCCGAGAAGGCUAAACUUGGGGUUGAUCAUGCUAGACUCAAGGAGGAGUUUGAUGCACUUGACAAGGCCCACAAGGUCUUGAAGGGUGCUCAUGCAAACCUCAAGGAGUCUCAUGCUCAACUCCAAGUUAAGCUAACCAAGGAAAAGGCCACCUUUCCUCAUAUGGUAUUAAUGGAUAAUGCAUAG
RNAcentral lists this ribosomal RNA (1140 nucleotides) under Triticum aestivum (bread wheat). RNAcentral describes it as "partial small subunit ribosomal RNA". The record is from RNAcentral. Lineage: Eukaryota; Viridiplantae; Streptophyta; Magnoliopsida; Poales; Poaceae.